GGCGGGGUCUCGGGCUGGGCGGAGGUGAGUCCCCGGGCCUCUGGGCGCCUCAGUUGCCUCGGGUUGGAAAAUGGGCUGUUAAUGUGACCCCGGGGGAGUCCCUGGACCCCGGGGUGUACGGGGACGUCCGUGUCCCCGGCUUCCCGGAGGCUCCAUCGCGGCUGGGCGCCUGUUCUCUCAGCGGCCCAGAGCCACUUGCGCUCCCGCCGCCCCUGCCCCGACGGACCCGCCGGUGAGGAGCGUCCCCCCGCCCCGUCCCCCGGCCCAGGGCAGGGGUUGGAGGGUAGGGAUUAGAUGGCUGCGUUGUGCAAGUGAAAAGAGGGGAAGCUUCCCUGGCGGUCCAGGGGUUGACUCCGCGGUUCCACUGCAGAAGGCGUGGAGGCAAUCCCGCAAGCCCGCAUGCCCCGCCUUACAGCCAAAGCAAACAAACACAGGAGUUCGGGAAAGAAUAAGCAGGAAAGCUGGGACACGCCCCUGAUCUUCGACUUUAAAAGCCCAAAGUCGGAAUGUCAGCCCCAUGUUACAACCAGUGAGAUCUGGGUCCCAGCUCUGCCCUCUGGGCACCACCAUGCCUGCCAGCUCCCUCUGCCCAGGACAGAGAUCAGAAAACCACUCACAGAUGGACCCCAGGACUCCGCCUGUCCAGUUGCCACUUGCCCAGUGGCUUCAUUUUACAGAUGAGAAAAUUGAGGCCGAAAAGGGAACAAGUCAAAGGACAGACUGGAGAGAGCCUAGCAGUGUAAUAAAAGUUCAUGACUUUCAG
Bubalus bubalis (water buffalo) is the source of this 763-nucleotide long non-coding RNA. RefSeq lists it as uncharacterized. NCBI's taxonomy places the organism in Eukaryota, Metazoa, Chordata, Mammalia, Artiodactyla, Bovidae. The transcript has 2 exons. The record is from RefSeq and is a predicted model, not a curated record.